Rosa chinensis is the source of this 581-nucleotide RNA transcript. RefSeq lists it as uncharacterized. Lineage: Eukaryota; Viridiplantae; Streptophyta; Magnoliopsida; Rosales; Rosaceae. The transcript has 3 exons. The record is from RefSeq and is a predicted model, not a curated record.
GUUUAGGUCUAUCACUUUACUACAAGGUAUAUAGCACUUCAUCACCAAACGUGCACUGGAGCUCUACGGAAAGAGAGGAGAGGAGAGUCUUGUUCAUGUCGACGAACGUGAGAGCCAUGAAUAUUUGUUCAAAUUACUUUGAAGAGAGAGUGAAAAAACAAAGGGAAUGAAAAUGGGAUUUGGAGGUAUACGGCUGUGCUUGUCUCUCUUGCUGGCUUUUGCUGUAGUCUCUUCUGCUUUCAGGAACACCAUCAAUCCAUUUUCAGUUUCAGAUAACGACGAAAUGGUAAUGACGAUGGAGGGGAGGUCUUUGAUGGCGAGACUAGACGACUACGGUGACACGACUGCGAAUCGUGGGCAUGAUCCGCCAUCUACCUCCAAGGCCAAACCAGGCAAACUCCGUGGCCGAAAGGGCUAGCUCAUAUAAAUCUAUGGUGCAUGCUUAAUUAUUUCUUUAAUUUAUUGGUUUAAUCUCCAGCUUAAUUACAGGCUCUUGCGUUUUGAAUUGUAUCUGUAUGUGAGGUUACUUGUGUAAUACUUUGAAUAUGAAAUAAUAACCACUUUCUUCAAUCAGUUAAACA